RNAcentral lists this long non-coding RNA (418 nucleotides) under Parus major (Great Tit). RNAcentral describes it as "lncRNA (ENSPMJG00000012944.1)". The record is from RNAcentral. Lineage: Eukaryota; Metazoa; Chordata; Aves; Passeriformes; Paridae.
GAUUGUUACAUGAACCUGCUUCUCAUUGAUGAAUGUGUCUAGAAGAAUAAAGGAAGAAAGGACAAGAGGAAUGGAUAUUAAAGAAGGAUCUGGAAGCCAUGUUGGACACUUUCACUUUCUGCAAGGAGAAAAAGACAGUGAAGAAAACUGACAGCCAGAAAAAUGAGACAAACUACUUAGUAAUUUUCAUCUCGGAUUGGAUCAUGGCCUUCAGCAAGUAAUUUCAGUUCAGCAAGCCUGCACAGAUUGAAGAAAGGUUCUUGAAGCAUGUGAAACUCCCAAAGCUGAAGAUUUGUUAAGAAAGCUUUCUGAAUCACUCUGAAUAAGUAAGGAGGCUGAGUAUAUGAACCUUUCCUGAACAAACUCCUUAAAUUUAUUCAAGUAAUGAUGCCAAAUAAAGAAUAAAAUGCUUACUGCA